ACCAGGAUGGCCGAGUGGUUAAGGCGUUGGACUUAAGAUCCAAUGUACGAAUGUACGCGUGGGUUCGAACCCCACUCCUGGUA
Molecule: transfer RNA, 83 nt
Filed under: Nematostella vectensis (starlet sea anemone)
Lineage: Eukaryota; Metazoa; Cnidaria; Anthozoa; Actiniaria; Edwardsiidae
Rfam family: tRNA
About the family: Transfer RNA (tRNA) molecules are approximately 80 nucleotides in length. Their secondary structure includes four short double-helical elements and three loops (D, anti-codon, and T loops).
Source: Rfam by way of RNAcentral